This 200-nucleotide ribosomal RNA is filed under the name uncultured bacterium. Its description in RNAcentral is "partial 16S ribosomal RNA". It matches the Rfam family "Bacterial small subunit ribosomal RNA", at positions 328 to 539 of the family's 1533-position model. The record is from RNAcentral.
ACGCUCGACACCUACGGGGGCAGCAGUGGGGAAUAUUGGGCAAUGGGCGCAAGCCUGACCCAGCAACGCCGCGUGAAGGAAGAAGGCCCUCGGGUUGUAAACUUCUUUUGACAGGGACGAAACAAUANCGGUACCGUCUCGAUAANACNCGCGUACUAACGUCGCCAGCAGCCGCGGUAAUCUGAGCGGGCUGGCAAGGC